Molecule: unclassified non-coding RNA, 534 nt
Filed under: uncultured Xerocomus
Lineage: Eukaryota; Fungi; Basidiomycota; Agaricomycetes; Boletales; Boletaceae
Description: sequence contains ITS1, 5.8S rRNA gene and ITS2
Rfam family: 5.8S ribosomal RNA (bases 142-296)
Source: RNAcentral
CAUGUGCACGUCCAACCUUUUCUAUUACACACCCGUGCACCUUUUGUAGGUCCUCGAAAGAGGAUCUAUGUAUUUCAUCAUCACACCUAUCGUAUGUCUAGAAUGUCAUCGUCGACCACUGGGCGGCGAAAUAAAUAAUACAACUUUCAGCAACGGAUCUCUUGGCUCUCGCAUCGAUGAAGAACGCAGCGAAUUGCGAUAAGUAAUGUGAAUUGCAGAUUUUCAGUGAAUCAUCGAAUCUUUGAACGCACCUUGCGCUCCUUGGUAUUCCGAGGAGCAUGCCUGUUUGAGUGUCAUUAAAUUCUCAACCAUGACUUUGUUGACAUGGCUUGGAGUUGGGGGUUGCUGGCUUGUUUGUCAGCUCUCCUGAAAUACAUUAGCGGUGGACAAGCAAGGCCUUCCGACGUGAUAAUGAUCGUCGUGGGGCGGAGCAUCAACGUCUGUCUGCUUCUAAAUCCCAGAUGCCUUAGCUAGACAUCAUUUCGAACGCUUGACCUCAAAUCAGGUAGGACUACCCGCUGAACUUAAGCAUAU